GCUGGGCGUGGUGGCUAACGCCUGUAAUUCCAGCACUUUGGGAGGCUGAGGUGGGCGGAUCACCUGAGGUCAGGAGUUCAAGACAAGCCUGACCAACAUGGUGAAACCCCAUCUCUA
This is an unclassified non-coding RNA of Pongo abelii (Sumatran orangutan), 117 nucleotides long. It matches the Rfam family "Metazoan signal recognition particle RNA". Rfam says of the family: The signal recognition particle (SRP) is a universally conserved ribonucleoprotein. It is involved in the co-translational targeting of proteins to membranes. NCBI's taxonomy places the organism in Eukaryota, Metazoa, Chordata, Mammalia, Primates, Hominidae. The record is from Ensembl.